AGGGAAGAAACGGUGAGAGCUAAUAUCUUUGCUAAUGACGGUACCCUGAAGAAUAAGCACCGGCUAACUACGUGCCAGCAGCCGCGGUAAUACGUAGGGUGCAAGCGUUAAUCGGAAUUACUGGGCGUAAAGCGUGCGCAGGCGGUUUUGUAAGUCUGAUGUGAAGUCCCCGGGCUCAACCUGGGAAUUGCAUUGGAGGCUGCAAGGCUAGAAUCUGGCAGAGGGGGGUAGAAUUCCACGUGUAGCAGUGAAAUGCGUAGAUAUGUGGAGGAACACCGAUGGCGAAGGCAGCCCCCUGGGUCAAGAUUGACGCUCAUGCACGAAAGCGUGGGGAGCAAACAGGAUUAGAUACCCUGGUAGUCCACGCCCUAAACGAUGUCUACUAGUUGUCGGGUCUUAAUUGACUUGGUAACGCAGCUAACGCGUGAAGUAGACCGCCUGGGGAGUACGGUCGCAAGAUUAAAACUCAAAGGAAUUGACGGGGACCCGCACAAGCGGUGGAUGAUGUGGAUUAAUUCGAUGCAACGCGAAAAACCUUACCUACCCUUGACAUGGCUGGAAUCCCCGAGAGAUUGGGGAGUGCUCGAAAGAGAACCAGUACACAGGUGCUGCAUGGCUGUCGUCAGC
This 627-nucleotide ribosomal RNA is filed under the name uncultured Janthinobacterium sp. RNAcentral describes it as "bacterial SSU rRNA". It matches the Rfam family "Bacterial small subunit ribosomal RNA", at positions 441 to 1059 of the family's 1533-position model. Lineage: Bacteria; Pseudomonadati; Pseudomonadota; Betaproteobacteria; Burkholderiales; Oxalobacteraceae. The record is from RNAcentral.